This 207-nucleotide ribosomal RNA is filed under the name uncultured bacterium. Its description in RNAcentral is "partial 16S ribosomal RNA". It matches the Rfam family "Bacterial small subunit ribosomal RNA", at positions 568 to 774 of the family's 1533-position model. The record is from RNAcentral.
CACGUAGGCGGACCGGAAAGUUGGGGGUGAAAUCCCGGGGCUCAACCCCGGAACUGCCUUCAAAACUAUCGGUCUGGAGUUCGAGAGAGGUGAGUGGAAUUCCAAGUGUAGAGGUGAAAUUCGUAGAUAUUCGGAGGAACACCAGUGGCGAAGGCGGCUCACUGGCUCGAUACUGACGCUGAGGUGCGAAAGCGUGGGGAGCAAACA